UGGUCGAUCUUCAAGACAUUCCUAGUCGAACACCAAAUAUUUCUGUAGAAAAGCCAACGAACGAUAAAAAAAAUCAUGUUGCGUUGUUGCCGGUAGGUGCACUUGAUUCAAAAGUCCUGCGCAUCGGGUAAGCAAAGUGUUCCCAUGAGACAAACUCCGCCUACCAGCAAAUCGGUGACGAAAUCGAGUGCACCUACUGCGCUGCCCAAUCGAAUAGCUCAAAUCACUGUGGCUACAGAUCUUCCAUGACACUGGCCACAGCCAAGUUUAAUAGGCUACUAGCCUACGUAAGAUUUAAUAACUUAAAAAUCAUGACCACAGAGAGACUGUCAAUGAAUACAGCAAAGUGAUGCUGUUUUUAUGAAUGAGUUCAUGUUUAAGUUUAUAUUCAGCACUGUCACUGUUUUUAUUCAACACUAUAUUUUGUUAUAUGCUCGGGCUGCAACGAAUGAGUAGCCAAGUAUCGUCAGCCCUGCGUUUUAUGAUUAUUAGCAGCUCGUCGUGACGAUUUUAAUAUGAAGGAAUAUUUACCUUCUCUGGUCAUAGGAACAACAUGAAUUUGUGCAUGAGGCAGAUGCGACUCGAGUUUCGCCAUAAGGUGGAAGACUGUGUCCCCUCUCUCUGGUCAGUCUCACCGGAGGAAAGGAAGGAGAGAGCAGGUGGAAGACGGUGUCCCCUCUCUCUGGUCAGUCUCACCGGAGGAAAGGAAGGAGAGAGCAGGAGGAAGACGGUGUCCCCUCUCUCUGAUCAGUCUCACUGGAGGAAAGGAAGGAGAGAGCAGGUGGAAGACGGUGUCCCCUCUCUCUGAUCAGUCUCACCGGAGGAAAGGAAGGAGAGAGCAGGUGGAAGACGGUGUCCCCUCUCUCUGAUCAGUCUCACCGGAGGAAAGGAAGGAGAGAGCAGGUGGAAGACGGUGUCCCCUCUCUCUGAUCAGUCUCACCGGAGGAAAGGAAGGAGAGAGCAGGUGGAAGACGGUGUCCCCUCUCUCUGGUCAGUCUCACCGGAGGAAAGGAAGGAGAGAGCAGGUGGAAGACGGUGUCCCCUCUCUCUGAUCAGUCUCACCGGAGGAAAGGAAGGAGAGAGCAGGUGGAAGACGGUGUCCCCUCUCUCUGAUCAGUCUCACCGGAGGAAAGGAAGGAGAGAGCGGUUGAGAGAAAUCUCUUUAAAACGGCCAA
Molecule: long non-coding RNA, 1175 nt
Organism: Oncorhynchus keta (chum salmon)
Lineage: Eukaryota; Metazoa; Chordata; Actinopteri; Salmoniformes; Salmonidae
Exons: 3
Source: RefSeq, a predicted model, not a curated record